Molecule: ribosomal RNA, 1371 nt
Filed under: uncultured bacterium
Lineage: Bacteria
Description: bacterial SSU rRNA
Rfam family: Bacterial small subunit ribosomal RNA
Source: RNAcentral
GAUGAACGCUGGCGGCGUGCCUAAUACAUGCAAGUCGAGCGAACGGACGAGAAGCUUGCUUCUCUGAUGUUAGCGGCGGACGGGUGAGUAACACGUGGAUAACCUACCUAUAAGACUGGGAUAACUUCGGGAAACCGGAGCUAAUACCGGAUAAUAUUUUGAACCGCAUGGUUCAAAAGUGAAAGACGGUCUUGCUGUCACUUAUAGAUGGAUCCGCGCUGCAUUAGCUAGUUGGUAAGGUAACGGCUUACCAAGGCAACGAUGCAUAGCCGACCUGAGAGGGUGAUCGGCCACACUAGAACUGAGACACGGUCCAGACUCCUACGGGAGGCAGCAGUAGGGAAUCUUCCGCAAUGGGCGAAAGCCUGACGGAGCAACGCCGCGUGAGUGAUGAAGGUCUUCGGAUCGUAAAACUCUGUUAUUAGGGAAGAACAUAUGUGUAAGUAACUGUGCACAUCUUGACGGUACCUAAUCAGAAAGCCACGGCUAACUACGUGCCAGCAGCCGCGGUAAUACGUAGGUGGCAAGCGUUAUCCGGAAUUAUUGGGCGUAAAGCGCGCGUAGGCGGUUUUUUAGUCUGAUGUGAAAGCCCACGGCUCAACCGUGGAGGGUCAUUGGAAACUGGAAAACUUGAGUGCAGAAGAGGAAAGUGGAAUUCCAUGUGUAGCGGUGAAAUGCGCAGAGAUAUGGAGGAACACCAGUGGCGAAGGCGACUUUCUGGUCUGUAACUGACGCUGAUGUGCGAAAGCGUGGGGAUCAAACAGGAUUAGAUACCCUGGUAGUCCACGCCGUAAACGAUGAGUGCUAAGUGUUAGGGGGUUUCCGCCCCUUAGUGCUGCAGCUAACGCAUUAAGCACUCCGCCUGGGGAGUACGACCGCAAGGUUGAAACUCAAAGGAAUUGACGGGGACCCGCACAAGCGGUGGAGCAUGUGGUUUAAUUCGAAGCAACGCGAAGAACCUUACCAAAUCUUGACAUCCUUUGACAACUCUAGAGAUAGAGCCUUCCCCUUCGGGGGACAAAGUGACAGGUGGUGCAUGGUUGUCGUCAGCUCGUGUCGUGAGAUGUUGGGUUAAGUCCCGCAACGAGCGCAACCCUUAAGCUUAGUUGCCAUCAUUAAGUUGGGCACUCUAAGUUGACUGCCGGUGACAAACCGGAGGAAGGUGGGGAUGACGUCAAAUCAUCAUGCCCCUUAUGAUUUGGGCUACACACGUGCUACAAUGGACAAUACAAAGGGCAGCGAAACCGCGAGGUCAAGCAAAUCCCAUAAAGUUGUUCUCAGUUCGGAUUGUAGUCUGCAACUCGACUACAUGAAGCUGGAAUCGCUAGUAAUCGUAGAUCAGCAUGCUACGGUGAAUACGUUCCCGGGUCU